CCUACGGGAGGCAGCAGUGAGGAAUAUUGGUCAAUGGACGAGAGUCUGAACCAGCCAAGUAGCGUGAAGGAUGACUGCCCUAUGGGUUGUAAACUUCUUUUAUAAAGGAAUAAAACGAGGCACGUGUGCCUUUUUGCAUGUACUUUAUGAAUAAGGAUAGGCUAACUCCGUGCCAGCAGCCGCGGUAAUACGGAGGAUCCGAGCGUUAUCCGGAUUUAGUGGUUUUAAAGGGAGCGUAGAUGGGUUGUUAAGUCAGUUGUGAAAGUUUGCGGCUCAACCGUAAAAUUGCAAUUGAUACUGGCAGUCUUGAGUACAGUUGAGGUAGGCGGAAUUCGUGGUGUAGCGGUGAAAUGCUUAGAUAUCACGAAGAACCCCGAUUGCGAAGGCAGCUUACUAAACUGUGACUGACAUUGAUGCGCGAAAGUGUGGGUAUCAAACAGGAUUAGAUACCCGAGUAGUC
Molecule: ribosomal RNA, 460 nt
Filed under: uncultured bacterium
Lineage: Bacteria
Description: partial 16S ribosomal RNA
Rfam family: Bacterial small subunit ribosomal RNA
Source: RNAcentral